RNAcentral lists this ribosomal RNA (427 nucleotides) under uncultured Chlamydiae bacterium. Its description in RNAcentral is "bacterial SSU rRNA". It matches the Rfam family "Bacterial small subunit ribosomal RNA", at positions 958 to 1385 of the family's 1533-position model. Lineage: Bacteria; Pseudomonadati; Chlamydiota; Chlamydiia. The record is from RNAcentral.
AACGCGAAGAACCUUACCUGGGCUCGAAAUGUAGAGGACGAUAGCAGAGAUGUUAUCUCCCGCAAGGGCUUCUAUAUAGGUGCUGCAUGGCUGUCGUCAGCUCGUGCCGUGAGGUGUUUGGUUAAGUCCAGCAACGAGCGCAACCCUUAUCGUUAGUUGCCAGCGCGUCAAGGCGGGAACUCUAACGAGACUGCCUGGGUUAACCAGGAGGAAGGUGAGGAUGACGUCAAGUCCGCAUGGCCUUUAUGUCCAGGGCUACACACGUGCUACAAUGGUCGGUACAGAAGGCAGCGAAACCGCGAGGUGAAGCAAAUCUCUAAAACCGAUCUCAGUUCAGAUUGUAGUCUGCAACUCGGCUACAUGAAGUUGGAAUUGCUAGUAAUGGCGUGUCAGCAACAACGCCGUGAAUACGUUCCCGGGCCUUGUA